UUUUAGAUUAUAAUUUAAAGUAGGGCCUGCCCACUGAAAUUUUAAAGGGCCGCAGUAUUUUGACUGUGCAAAGGUAGCAUAAUCAUUAGUUUUUUAAUUGAAAGCUAGAAUGAAUGGUUUGAUGAAAAAAUUACUUUCUUUAAUUUAUUAAAAAAAUUUUAUUUUUAAGUUAAAAAGCUUAAAUGUUUAUAAAAGACGAGAAGACCCUAUAGAGUUUAAUUAUUUAAAAUUAGUUUAUUAAAGAAUUAAAUUAAAUUAAUUUAAAGAUAAUUUAAUUGGGGUGAUUAAAAAAUUAAAUAAACUUUUUUUAUUAAAUACAUUAAUUUAUGAAUAUUUGAUCCAAUAAUUUUGAUUAAAAGAAUAAAUUACCUUAGGGAUAACAGCGUUAUUUUCUUUUAGAGUUCAAAUCGAAAGGAGAGAUUGCGACCUCGAUGUUGGAUUAAAGUUAAUUAUAGGUGUAGAAGCUUAUAAAUUUGGUCUGUUCGACCAUUAAAACUUUACA
RNAcentral lists this ribosomal RNA (502 nucleotides) under Micraspis sp. CO459. RNAcentral describes it as "partial 16S ribosomal RNA". The stretch from base 376 to 502 matches the Rfam family "Bacterial large subunit ribosomal RNA", at positions 2473 to 2600 of the family's 2925-position model. RNAcentral also lists the same sequence under 1 other name. Lineage: Eukaryota; Metazoa; Arthropoda; Insecta; Coleoptera; Coccinellidae. The record is from RNAcentral.